This 210-nucleotide long non-coding RNA is filed under the name Mytilus galloprovincialis (Mediterranean mussel). Lineage: Eukaryota; Metazoa; Mollusca; Bivalvia; Mytilida; Mytilidae. The record is from RNAcentral.
AAAAAAUCAAAAAUUAUACAAAAAAGAAGAUGUGGUAUGAUUGCCAAUGAGACAACUAUCCACAAAAGACCAAAAUGACACAAACAUUAACAAUUAUAGGUCACCGUACGACCUUCAACAAUGAGCAAAGCCCAUACCGCAUAUAGUCAGCUAUAAAAGGCCCCAAUAAGACAAUGUAAAACAAUUCAAACGAGAAAACUAACUUAUAUA